ACCCCCAACAGGAGAUUUUGUAAAUAGCAAGUGACGUCACAGGAAGUAAAAAUCGGUGGAUGUUUACAUGGUGCUUGAUGUCUGAUUGUUAUCCACGUCCAUCUGCCUCCAUCCUUCGUCUUUCGUGUCAUCGUCUUUUCACACUUUCUGCAUUAUUAAACCUGUGGACAAAGAGAAUUGUCUUCAGUGUGUUAAUGGAAGAAAGGUGUUGAACCUUGCUGCCGGUCCUUUACUUCGUGGUGAAGUGGGAAAGACAGUACACUGGUAAACACAUUUUUAAAAGAGAAACUCAAUACUUCCCCCAAAAUCUGAGCUGAGAAACAAGCAGGGUAGAAUAUUUGUUUUUGUCCUAUUCUACAAAUGUUUUCACUUGUGUAACUUGUUUGUAACCAGUAGAAAGAAAACAAAGCACAAAUCUUCUGGCUGUAGCGUACAUGAGUGCUGACAAACCAAUGUAUUUUGCAUAUUCCUGUUUUUGCUAAAUCUUUGUUCAAAUCUUGGUUUUGACAAUUUUCCGCUCCCUUAUGGUUUGUGUGACAUUUAUAAGCCACGUGUGAGCGGAAGCCUCUGGUGUUUGCAUUAUGUGGUAAGCAAAGUAUUGCUUACCAAAUAAAGGUGACGUCCACCAGAAAUAAAAACGACAGUUUCAGGAGAAAGACAUUCACAUUUAACAUGUUACCUGUUUCUUAGAAGCACAAACUGAAGAAUAUUUAUUCUUCUGUCAGCAGAUACGGCCUCUAAAGUGGGAAAUGUCUGCCGUCAGUUAAAUAAUGAAGAUUUGUUUUCAGUUCCCUCCAGUCAGUGCUUGGUAGACCGGCCUUUUAGUGCAGUUACACCAACCUUUGUUAGGUUAGGUUAGGUUGUCUCUACCCCCACUGUAAAUCCAGAGAUUGACAUUUAUCCAUGCUUGUGCACAGAUUGUGUGGAGAGUGUCAGGGUCUGUGUUCUUCUUUUGUUUCUUUUUGUUUUUCUUUUUUUUUUUGUUGUCUCCCUGGAGCACCUGCUGCUUCCCAUGGCACCCACCAGGUGUCGCUAGGAUGCAGAGCCCCUGGAGUUGUGCCAUGCCAACCCCAUCGACACACCUGCAGCUUGUUUGGAGGGCUCGGCCUGGGUGCUUAUAGGACAGUGGCGGAACGACUCCUCUCCGCCUGAGUGUUUUGUUUACCUCGGUAAACCCGCCGUCUCCUUGAUUUCCCGAGUGAGCCGUCUGCCCCGGAAUUCCUAGCCUCCGUUGCUACUCGAUCGCUUUGGACGCCUCCCCAAGAGACCAGGAUUUCCUGUCCGCCCUCCAACCAGCUCAGUUCUCCAGUACUCUGCCAGCAGUCAUACUCACCCCCUCCAAUCGGACGAACCGGUUACCCGCUCCAGAACCCAUCUCCUUUCCCUUUUUCCUCGGUCUCAAUAAAUCAUUAUUGUGCUUUAA
This is a long non-coding RNA of Poeciliopsis prolifica (blackstripe livebearer), 1423 nucleotides long. RefSeq lists it as uncharacterized. Lineage: Eukaryota; Metazoa; Chordata; Actinopteri; Cyprinodontiformes; Poeciliidae. The transcript has 4 exons. The record is from RefSeq and is a predicted model, not a curated record.